GCUGUUGUAGCUCAGUAGGCAGAGCACGGGCAUGGUAAGUCCGAGGUCGACGGUUCGAGACCGUCCAACAGCACCA
Molecule: transfer RNA, 76 nt
Filed under: Burkholderia cenocepacia
Lineage: Bacteria; Pseudomonadati; Pseudomonadota; Betaproteobacteria; Burkholderiales; Burkholderiaceae
Description: tRNA-Thr
Rfam family: tRNA
About the family: Transfer RNA (tRNA) molecules are approximately 80 nucleotides in length.
Source: RNAcentral